Molecule: ribosomal RNA, 22 nt
Filed under: Musa acuminata (dwarf banana)
Lineage: Eukaryota; Viridiplantae; Streptophyta; Magnoliopsida; Zingiberales; Musaceae
Description: partial 26S ribosomal RNA
Source: RNAcentral
CCACGGCCAUGCACAUCAACAG